Molecule: ribosomal RNA, 416 nt
Filed under: uncultured bacterium
Lineage: Bacteria
Description: bacterial SSU rRNA
Rfam family: Bacterial small subunit ribosomal RNA
Source: RNAcentral
UAUUGGACAAUGCCCGCAAGGGUGAUCCAGCCAUGCCGCGUGCAGGAAGACGGCCCUAUGGGUUGUAAACUGCUUUUACACCGGAGAAAACCCUCGUUCGUGAACGAGGCUGAUAGUAUGGUGAGAAUAAGCAUCGGCUAACUUCGUGCCAGCAGCCGCGGUAAGACGAAGGAUGCAAGCGUUAUCCGGAUUCAUUGGGUUUAAAGGGAGCGUAGGCGGUCCUGUAAGUCAGUGGUGAAAUCUCUCGGCUUAACCGAGAAAUUGCCAUUGAUACUGCAGAACUUGAGUACAGUUGCCGUUGGCGGAAUAUGACAUGUAGUGGUGAAAUACAUAGAGAUGUCAUAGAACACCGAUUGCGAAGGCAGCUAACGAAACUGUAACUGACGCUGAGGCUCGAAAGUGCGGGGAUCAAACAG